RNAcentral lists this ribosomal RNA (374 nucleotides) under Eutintinnus sp. RNAcentral's name for it is "partial small subunit ribosomal RNA". It matches the Rfam family "Eukaryotic small subunit ribosomal RNA", at positions 587 to 975 of the family's 1831-position model. RNAcentral also lists the same sequence under 1 other name. The record is from RNAcentral. Lineage: Eukaryota; Ciliophora; Spirotrichea; Tintinnida; Tintinnidae.
AGCUCCAAUAGCGUAUAUUAAAGUUGUUGCAGUUAAAAAGCUCGUAGUUGGAUUUCUGGCAAGAUUCAACGGCGCACCGCGUGCGCCCGCGAGUCCUGCCAUCCGUCUGUUAAACCAGCAGGACAUUCAUUUGUCGGCUGGCGGCUCAGACAAUUUACCUUGAGAAAAUUAGAGUGUUUCAGGCAGGCUAGCGCCGGGAUACAUUAGCAUGGAAUAAUAGAACAGGACUUGAUUCUCUUCUGUUGGUUUGAGGGAGUUAAGUAAUGAUUAAUAGGGAUAGUUGGGGGCAUUAGUACUUAACUGUCAGAGGUGAAAUUCUUGGAUUUGUUAAAGACUAACUUAUGCGAAAGCAUUUGCCAAGGAUGUUUUCAUUA